Long non-coding RNA from Cygnus olor (mute swan), 940 nucleotides. RefSeq lists it as uncharacterized. The transcript is spliced from 3 exons. NCBI's taxonomy places the organism in Eukaryota, Metazoa, Chordata, Aves, Anseriformes, Anatidae. The record is from RefSeq and is a predicted model, not a curated record.
GACAUAGGGGGUAGAUAACAAUAAGGUGUUACAUUCCUGCACAUUUCAUGGAAACUGAUGGUUAUUCAGCAGGCAUUAGUUACAUGGUAUGCUCAAAAUUGGUGCAAAGCUGCAGCAUGAUUUCGGCGUUAUCUGUUCAGCUCUGCCUGCUGAGUGGCCCAGAGGUUACUGCAGUGAAAAAGUAUGGCCACAAGGCAUCAGUCUGUGGGAGACUGGAUUUUGUCAGCGCUGCUGCUCACAGAGCAGCUUGCUUUGUCAGCCCACAGAAAAUGUUCCCUUCACAGAACUAUUAGUUUGUUUUCUGACAUGUACACAACCCUUGAUACCAAAGGGACGUUUGUAUGACUGCCACAAUUUUUGUCCUUUGCAGGGUUUAUUUAUUCACAAAGACCUGAUGCAGAUGGCAGAUGUGAGGAACGAAUGGGGCACCACUGCAGCUCACUAGUAAUUUGACUUGCUGUUGCUUCUUCAUGACCACACACCAGUUCUGCUGAUCCUAUGGAGCUGACCUUCCCUGCUAUAGAGGCAUCUCUUCGAUCAGCAUACCUGCACCCUGAGAGACUCUGACUGCUGGUUUUCACUCUUGCUGGCAAGAGGAAGCCACUGUGGUUAGGGAAAAGCAAGUUCCUGCAGAGCACUCUCCUGGGGCCCAAGAUGGCUGUUGAUAGCCAAGAAUGCAUUACACUAAAGCAUCACAGGUCCUGGAAAAUCCUAUCAAACUUUAUGGAAAAUGAUAACAUUCCUGCAAGCUUAAUGAACCGUUCCAAAGUUCUUAGGAGCGGUACACCCACUGCUGAAAUGUACGGGUGGUGCACGCAACCUUGCAGAAAAGAUAAAGCUCUCUGACAGUCCUAUGGUGGUAGUCUGGCCGAACUCUCUUUCAUCUCCAACAACCAUAUUCACUCCUAACAUGGUCCUGUAAAUGUUCCGAGCCUCUACG